RNAcentral lists this ribosomal RNA (253 nucleotides) under uncultured bacterium. RNAcentral describes it as "partial 16S ribosomal RNA". It matches the Rfam family "Bacterial small subunit ribosomal RNA", at positions 524 to 776 of the family's 1533-position model. The record is from RNAcentral.
UACGUAGGGUGCGAGCGUUAAUCGGAAUUACUGGGCGUAAAGCGUGCGCAGGCGGCUUUGCAAGACAGAUGUGAAAUCCCCGGGCUCAACCUGGGAACUGCAUUUGUGACUGCAAGGCUAGAGUACGGCAGAGGGGGAUGGAAUUCCGCGUGUAGCAGUGAAAUGCGUAGAUAUGCGGAGGAACACCAAUGGCGAAGGCAAUCCCCUGGGCCGGUACUGACGCUCAUGCACGAAAGCGUGGGGAGCAAACAGG